AACUUGUGCUUCAGACAUUUUCAAAUUAAAUCUUUAAGUUGUUCCCAAGCUUUACAUAGUGUUUCAUCCUUCAAUUUUCUAAAAGAUGUGAUGUUAUUUCUAAGCUU
This is a small nucleolar RNA of Gossypium raimondii (Peruvian cotton), 107 nucleotides long. It matches the Rfam family "Plant small nucleolar RNA R71". Rfam says of the family: R71 is a member of the C/D box family of snoRNAs containing the C (UGAUGA) and D (CUGA) box motifs. Multiple nearly identical copies of this snoRNA have been identified in Arabidopsis, and it is thought to function as a 2'-O-ribose methylation guide for 18S ribosomal RNA. The record is from Rfam. Lineage: Eukaryota; Viridiplantae; Streptophyta; Magnoliopsida; Malvales; Malvaceae.